RNAcentral lists this ribosomal RNA (676 nucleotides) under uncultured Enterobacterales bacterium. RNAcentral's name for it is "bacterial SSU rRNA". It matches the Rfam family "Bacterial small subunit ribosomal RNA", at positions 70 to 741 of the family's 1533-position model. The record is from RNAcentral. Lineage: Bacteria; Pseudomonadati; Pseudomonadota; Gammaproteobacteria; Enterobacterales.
CACAGAGAGCUUGCUCUCGGGUGACGAGUGGCGGACGGGUGAGUAAUGUCUGGGAAACUGCCUGAUGGAGGGGGAUAACUACUGGAAACGGUAGCUAAUACCGCAUAACGUCGCAAGACCAAAGAGGGGGACCUUCGGGCCUCUUGCCAUCAGAUGUGCCCAGAUGGGAUUAGCUAGUAGGUGGGGUAACGGCUCACCUAGGCGACGAUCCCUAGCUGGUCUGAGAGGAUGACCAGCCACACUGGAACUGAGACACGGUCCAGACUCCUACGGGAGGCAGCAGUGGGGAAUAUUGCACAAUGGGCGCAAGCCUGAUGCAGCCAUGCCGCGUGUAUGAAGAAGGCCUUCGGGUUGUAAAGUACUUUCAGCGGGGAGGAAGGUGUUGCGGUUAAUAACCGCAGCAAUUGACGUUACCCGCAGAAGAAGCACCGGCUAACUCCGUGCCAGCAGCCGCGGUAAUACGGAGGGUGCAAGCGUUAAUCGGAAUUACUGGGCGUAAAGCGCACGCAGGCGGUCUGUCAAGUCGGAUGUGAAAUCCCCGGGCUCAACCUGGGAACUGCAUUCGAAACUGGCAGGCUAGAGUCUUGUAGAGGGGGGUAGAAUUCCAGGUGUAGCGGUGAAAUGCGUAGAGAUCUGGAGGAUACCGGUGGCGAAGGCGGCCCCCUGGACAAAGACU